UAGAGUUUGAUCAUGGCUCAGAUUGAACGCUGGCGGCAGGCCUAACACAUGCAAGUCGAGCGGUAACAGGAAUUAGCUUGCUAAUUCGCUGACGAGCGGCGGACGGGUGAGUAAUGCCUGGGAAUAUGCCUUAGUGUGGGGGAUAACUAUUGGAAACGAUAGCUAAUACCGCAUAAUGUCUUCGGACCAAAGAGGGGGACCUUCGGGCCUCUCGCGCUAAGAUUAGCCCAGGUGAGAUUAGCUUGUUGGUGAGGUAAGAGCUCACCAAGGCGACGAUCUCUAGCUGGUCUGAGAGGAUGAUCAGCCACACUGGAACUGAGACACGGUCCAGACUCCUACGGGAGGCAGCAGUGGGGAAUAUUGCACAAUGGGCGCAAGCCUGAUGCAGCCAUGCCGCGUGUAUGAAGAAGGCCUUCGGGUUGUAAAGUACUUUCAGUGGGGAGGAAGGUGUUGUCGUUAAUAGCGGCAGCAUUUGACGUUACCCACAGAAGAAGCACCGGCUAACUCCGUGCCAGCAGCCGCGGUAAUACGGAGGGUGCGAGCGUUAAUCGGAAUUACUGGGCGUAAAGCGCAUGCAGGUGGUUCAUUAAGUCAGAUGUGAAAGCCCGGGGCUCAACCUCGGAACCGCAUUUGAAACUGGUGAACUAGAGUGCUGUAGAGGGGAGUAGAAUUUC
Molecule: ribosomal RNA, 674 nt
Filed under: uncultured Vibrionaceae bacterium
Lineage: Bacteria; Pseudomonadati; Pseudomonadota; Gammaproteobacteria; Vibrionales; Vibrionaceae
Description: bacterial SSU rRNA
Rfam family: Bacterial small subunit ribosomal RNA
Source: RNAcentral